Molecule: ribosomal RNA, 255 nt
Filed under: uncultured bacterium
Lineage: Bacteria
Description: partial 16S ribosomal RNA
Rfam family: Bacterial small subunit ribosomal RNA
Source: RNAcentral
CGUAGGGGGCGAGCGUUAUCCGGAUUCAUUGGGCGUAAAGCGCGCGUAGGCGGCCCGGCAGGCAGGGGGUCAAAUGGCGGGGGCUCAACCCCGUCCCGCCCCCUGAACCGCCGGGGCUCGGGUCCGGUAGGGGAGGGUGGAACACCCGGUGUAGCGGUGGAAUGCGCAGAUAUCGGGUGGAACACCGGUGGCGAAGGCGGCCCUCUGGGCCGAGACCGACGCUGAGGCGCGAAAGCUGGGGGAGCGAACAGGAUU